AUAAGCUAUUAAGGGCUAAUGGUGGAUGCCUAGACUAUAAGAGGCGAUGAAGGACGUACUAGACUGCGAUAAGUCUUGGGGAGCUGUCAAGAAGCAUUGAUCCAGGAAUUUCCGAAUGGGACAACCCAGUAUAAUGAGAAUUAUAUUAUCUAGAUUUAUCUAGAGGCGAACCGAGGGAAGUGAAACAUCUCAGUACCUCGAGGAAGAGAAAUCAAUUGAGAUUCUGUUAGUAGCGGCGAGCGAAAACGGAUUAGAGCGGUUAUAUUUAGCAUAUUAGUUAGUAGAAGUAGUUGGAAUGCUACGCGAUACAGAGUGAAAGCCUCGUAUACGAAAACCUUUAUGUGGAACUAAGAUAACGAACGAGUAGGUCGGAACACGUGACAUUUUGACUGAAUAUGGGGGGACCACCCUCCAACUCUAAAUACUACUUAUAGAUCGAUAGUGCACAAGUACCGUGAGGGAAAGGUGAAAAGUACCCCAGUGAGGGGAGUGAAAUAGAACCUGAAACCAUUAGCUUACAAUCAUUCGGAGCCCUAUGUCUUGUACAGGGUGACGGACUGCCUUUUGCAUAAUGAGCCUGCGAGUUGUGGUAUAUGGCAAGGUUAAGUCAAGUACGAAGCCGUAGCGAAAGCGAGUGUGAAUAGCGCGAAUUAGUCAUAUGCUGCAGACCCGAAACGAAGUGAUCUAUCCAUGAGCAGGUUGAAGCUGGUGUAAGAGCCAGUGGAGGACCGAACCGGUGUGCGUUGAAAAGUGCUCGGAUGACUUGUGGAUAGGGGUGAAAGGCCAAUCAAACUUCGUGAUAGCUGGUUCUCUCCGAAAUAUAUUUAGGUAUAGCGUCAUGUAAAUUAGUAUAAAGGGGUAGAGCACUGAAUGGGCUAGGGCUGCUUACCGCGGUACCAAACCCUAUCAAACUUCGAAUACUAUAUACUUUACCAUGGCAGUCAGGCGUAGGGUGAUAAAAUCCUAUGUCGAGAGGGGAACAACCCAGACUAUCAGCUAAGGUCCCUAAGUCGUACUUAAGUGGAAAACGAUGUGGAGUUACUGUGACAACCAGGAAGUUGGCUUAGAAGCAGCCAUCUUUUAAAGAAAGCGUAACAGCUCACUGGUCUAGUGAUUCUGCGCGGAAAAUAUAACGGGGCUAAAGUACGCACCGAAGCUAUAGAUUCGAAUUUAUUCGAGUGGUAGGAGAGCGUUCUAUUCAGCAUUGAAGCGAUACCGGUGAGGAGUCGUGGAGCGGAUAGAAGUGAGCAUGCAGGCAUGAGUAGCGAUAAUUAAAGUGAGAAUCUUUAACGCCGAAAACCCAAGGUUUCCUACGCGAUGCUCGUCAUCGUAGGGUUAGUCGGGUCCUAAGUCGAGUCCGAAAGGGGUAGACGAUGGCAAAUAGGUUAAUAUUCCUAUACUUAUAAUAGAGCGUGAUGUGGGGACGCAUAGAGUUAAUCGAGCUGGCUGAUGGAAUAGCUGGUCGAAGGAUGUAGGUUGUAGCACAGGCAAAUCCGUGCUACAUUCAACCGAGAUCUUACAGGCCGAACAAAAUCUUCGGAUAGCGUUUGGAAUCGAUGAUACUGUCGUGCCAAGAAAAGCCACUAAGCAUAUCUAUUAUAACCCGUACCGUAAACCGACACAGGUAGGUGGGAUGAGUAUUCUAAGGCGCGUGGAAGAACCCUGGUUAAGGAACUCUGCAAACUAGCACCGUAUCUUCGGUAGAAGGUGUGCCUACUUAGGUAUUAGGGAUUUACUCCCGAAAGCUUGAGAGGUUGCAACAAAGAGUCCCUCCCGACUGUUUACCAAAAACACAGCACUUUGCUAACUCGCAAGAGGAUGUAUAAGGUGUGACGCCUGCCCGGUGCUCGAAGGUUAAUUGAUGAUGUCAGCGUAAGCGAAGCAUUUGAUCGAAGCCCGAGUAAACGGCGGCCGUAACUAUAACGGUCCUAAGGUAGCGAAAUUCCUUGUCGGUUAAAUACCGACCUGCAUGAAUGGCGUAACGAGAUGGGAGCUGUCUCAACCAGGGAUCCAGUGAAAUUGUAGUGGAGGUGAAAAUUCCUCCUACCCGCGGAAAGACGGAAAGACCCCGUGCACCUUUACUAUAGCUUUACACUGCUAUUGGGAUAUUCAUGUGCAGGAUAGGUGGGAGACUAUGAUCUAUGGACGCAAGUACAUAGGGAGUCAUCCUUGAGAUACCACCCUUGAAUAUUCUGAUAGCUAACUGGGAACAAUUAUCUUGUUUCAGGACAAUGUAUGGUGGGUAGUUUGACUGGGGCGGUCGCCUCCUAAAAAGUAACGGAGGCUUACAAAGGUUGGCUCAAUCCGGUUGGAAAUCGGAUGUUGAGUAUAAUGGCAUAAGCCAGCCUGACUGUGAGACAUACAUGUCGAGCAGAGACGAAAGUC
RNAcentral lists this ribosomal RNA (2385 nucleotides) under seawater metagenome. RNAcentral's name for it is "bacterial LSU rRNA". It matches the Rfam family "Bacterial large subunit ribosomal RNA", at positions 1 to 2407 of the family's 2925-position model. The record is from RNAcentral.